RNAcentral lists this ribosomal RNA (664 nucleotides) under uncultured Fusobacterium sp. Its description in RNAcentral is "bacterial SSU rRNA". It matches the Rfam family "Bacterial small subunit ribosomal RNA", at positions 28 to 719 of the family's 1533-position model. The record is from RNAcentral. Lineage: Bacteria; Fusobacteriati; Fusobacteriota; Fusobacteriia; Fusobacteriales; Fusobacteriaceae.
GAUGAACGCUGGCAGAAUGCUUAACACAUGCAAGUCAACUUGAAUUUGGGUUUUUAACUUAGAUUUGGGUGGCGGACGGGUGAGUAACGCGUAAAGAACUUGCCUCACAGCUAGGGACAACAUUUAGAAAUGAAUGCUAAUACCUAAUAUUAUGAUAAUAGGGCAUCCUAUAAUUAUGAAAGCUAUAUGCGCUGUGAGAGAGCUUUGCGUCCCAUUAGCUAGUUGGAGAGGUAACGGCUCACCAAGGCGAUGAUGGGUAGCCGGCCUGAGAGGGUGAUCGGCCACAAGGGGACUGAGACACGGCCCUUACUCCUACGGGAGGCAGCAGUGGGGAAUAUUGGACAAUGGACCGAGAGUCUGAUCCAGCAAUUCUGUGUGCACGAUGAAGUUUUUCGGAAUGUAAAGUGCUUUCAGUUGGGAAGAAAGAAAUGACGGUACCAACAGAAGAAGUGACGGCUAAAUACGUGCCAGCAGCCGCGGUAAUACGUAUGUCACGAGCGUUAUCCGGAUUUAUUGGGCGUAAAGCGCGUCUAGGUGGUUAUAUAAGUCCGAUGUGCAAAUCCGGGCUCAACUCUGUUUGCGUUGUUCUCUGUAUCCUAUAUUACUGGGAGAUAAGCUGACUACUCGUAUUGAGUUCAAUUCUCAAACACUCACAAAGAGCAAA